CGAAGUCCUUCCUCCCACUUCAUGAUGGUGUGAUUGUUUGUUCAAUCCUGACGCCCUCUGCCCAGAAUACUCAGAGCUUGACUUGCUGGCGUGGCAAGUGGAGGUUCCACCAAGAUCUGAGGAAAGGAGGUGCUGAUAAACCCAUCUGGAUUCCUGAAAGAUAUUGUCGAACGAUCAACCCCCUGGAAGACCAUGGAACAUCUCAACAAAAUAACAAAGAAGUUCUUAAUUGUUCUUACAGUAAUUGUGUCCCGAGCAACUGCUGGAAUUCCUCCUUCACUUCUGCGCUGGUUGUGAGGAUCCCUACACUUCUUCCUAUGCCUGUGAAUGUAUCAGAAGAUUGAGUAGAACUGACAUUAUACAGAAGCAAAAGAGAUUUUGGAAUAGCAGCAGCUAUCAUCACUAGCAUAGCCAUCGCCUCUACUGCUACCGUCGCUGCUGGCAUCGCCUGUCUCAGACUGUGGUUACAGCUUCCACGGUUGAUACCUUGUCAGGAAAAGUUAGUGAAGCCCUGCAAACUCAGAACUCAAUCAAUGCACACAUACAAUUUGGACUAAUGAACUUAAAUCAACAAACUGCCUUGUUACAAAAACAAGUUGAUGCCCUUUGGGCUAUGCAACAGCUAACAUGUUCUUAUUUCUUUCAUCAUAUUUGUGUUACCCAUUACCAUGUACAAAAUGCCUCCAAUACUGUAAAACAAUUGAAUGCCUUUCUUAAGGGACCAUGGAAUGUGACCUUUGCAAAUUUUACUAAGGUUCUUACUUGGCAAAUUGUAUCUAUUAAUGAAAUCAGGGUCCCUGCCAUAUCAGCAGAAGGAUGGUGGAAUACCAUGGUAGGAAUUGGAGGAUGGACACAGAGGUGGACAGGCUCCUUAUCACUGACUGUCAAUUUCAUACUCAUUAUGAUCUUUGUGUUUUUCAGUCUUGUGUAGAAAGCUCAGAGGAAUUCAGUCCUGACAAACUGUUACCCAACAAGUCCUUUUAAGUUUUCACACAACCAUACAGAUGUCCCACAGGUGUGGCCUCAGAUGCUGCACAAAAGACGAAGGUAUUCUCAGUGAUGGGCAACUUUCU
Molecule: long non-coding RNA, 1073 nt
Organism: Nannospalax galili (Upper Galilee mountains blind mole rat)
Lineage: Eukaryota; Metazoa; Chordata; Mammalia; Rodentia; Spalacidae
Exons: 3
Source: RefSeq, a predicted model, not a curated record